RNAcentral lists this ribosomal RNA (254 nucleotides) under uncultured bacterium. RNAcentral's name for it is "partial 16S ribosomal RNA". It matches the Rfam family "Bacterial small subunit ribosomal RNA", at positions 524 to 776 of the family's 1533-position model. The record is from RNAcentral.
UACGUAGGGCGCGAGCGUUGUCCGGAUUUAUUGGGCGUAAAGAGCUCGUAGGCGGCUUGUCGCGUCGAAUGUGAAAUCCCGAGGCUCAACUUCGGGCUUGCAUUCGAUACGGGCAGGCUAGAGUGCUGUAGGGGAGACUGGAAUUCCUGGUGUAGCGGUGAAAUGCGCAGAGUAUCAGGAGGAACACCGGUGGCGAAGGCGGGUCUCUGGCAGUAACUGGCGCUGGAGGAGCGAAAGCGUGGGGAGCAAACAGG